AGCGAACGCUGGCGGCAGGCCUAACACAUGCAAGUCGAACGAACCUUUCGGGGUUAGUGGCGGACGGGUGAGUAACACGUGGGAACGUGCCUUUAGGUUCGGAAUAACUCAGGGAAACUUGUGCUAAUACCGAAUGUGCCUUUCGGGGGAAAGAUUAAUCGCCUUUAGAGCGGCCCGCGUCUGAUUAGCUAGUUGGUUGAGGUAAUGGCUCACCAAGGCGACGAUCAGUAGCUGGUCUGAGAGGAUGAUCAGCCACAUUGGGACUGAGACACGGCCCAAACUCCUACGGGAGGCAGCAGUGGGGAAUCUUGCGCAAUGGGCGAAAGCCUGACGCAGCCAUGCCGCGUGAAUGAUGAAGGUCUUAGGAUUGUAAAAUUCUUUCACCGGGGACGAUAAUGACGGUACCCGGAGAAGAAGCCCCGGCUAACUUCGU
Molecule: ribosomal RNA, 433 nt
Filed under: uncultured bacterium
Lineage: Bacteria
Description: partial 16S ribosomal RNA
Rfam family: Bacterial small subunit ribosomal RNA
Source: RNAcentral